UACGUAGGGCGCAAGCGUUAUCCGGAAUUAUUGGGCGUAAAGAGCUUGUAGGCGGUUUGUCGCGUCUGCCGUGAAAGCCCAGGGCUUAACCCUGGGUCUGCGGUGGGUACGGGCAGACUAGAGUGUGGUAGGGGAGACUGGAAUUCCUGGUGUAGCGGUGAAAUGCGCAGAUAUCAGGAGGAACACCGGUGGCGAAGGCGGGUCUCUGGGCCGAUACUGACGCUGAGGAGCGAAAGCGUGGGGAGCGAACAGG
This 253-nucleotide ribosomal RNA is filed under the name uncultured bacterium. Its description in RNAcentral is "partial 16S ribosomal RNA". It matches the Rfam family "Bacterial small subunit ribosomal RNA", at positions 524 to 776 of the family's 1533-position model. The record is from RNAcentral.